This 232-nucleotide ribosomal RNA is filed under the name Bacillus thuringiensis. RNAcentral describes it as "partial 16S ribosomal RNA". It matches the Rfam family "Bacterial small subunit ribosomal RNA", at positions 1 to 220 of the family's 1533-position model. Lineage: Bacteria; Bacillati; Bacillota; Bacilli; Caryophanales; Bacillaceae. The record is from RNAcentral.
UUUAUUGGAGAGUUUGAUCCUGGCUCAGGAUGAACGCUGGCGGCGUGCCUAAUACAUGCAAGUCGAGCGAAUGGAUUGAGAGCUUGCUCUUAUGAAGUUAGCGGCGGACGGGUGAGUAACACGUGGGUAACCUGCCCAUAAGACUGGGAUAACUCCGGGAAACCGGGGCUAAUACCGGAUAACAUUUUGAACCGCAUGGUUCGAAAUUGAAAGGCGGCUUCGGCUGUCACUU